Molecule: ribosomal RNA, 134 nt
Filed under: Meriones unguiculatus (Mongolian gerbil)
Lineage: Eukaryota; Metazoa; Chordata; Mammalia; Rodentia; Muridae
Source: RNAcentral
GUCUAUGGCCAUGCUUCCCUGAACGCACCUGAUGUCUAAUCUUGGAAGCUAAGCACGUCGGGCUGGUUCGUACUUGGAUGGGCUUUGAUUUUUGUGUUUAAUUGUUGUUUUGUGAUUCUAGACUCUCACAGACU